RNAcentral lists this long non-coding RNA (233 nucleotides) under Capsicum annuum. Its description in RNAcentral is "long non-coding RNA (CANN_LNC009563)". The record is from RNAcentral. Lineage: Eukaryota; Viridiplantae; Streptophyta; Magnoliopsida; Solanales; Solanaceae.
UGUAAUUAAGGUCUUAAAUAUUCUAGUUUUCGUAAUUUUUCCUUUCUAAAAAGUAAAGUUUAUUUAAUUUAUAGUUAUUUUUACUAGAGAUUCAACAUAUUCUUUAUAAGAAAAUAAUAAAUUAAGAUCAAUUUUGGUUGUCGUGUAGUGGUGAGACUACUUUACCCUUAACCAAAGGUCUCAGAUUCAAGCCAUGGGUAUGGAGAAAUCCUGUUGGGAGCGCCGCCCCCAGA